AACGAACGCUGGCGGCAUGCCUAACACAUGCAAGUCGAACGAGACCUUCGGGUCUAGUGGCGCACGGGUGCGUAACGCGUGGGAAUCUGCCCUUGGGUUCGGAAUAACUCGCCGAAAGGCGUGCUAAUACCGGAUGAUGACGUAAGUCCAAAGAUUUAUCGCCCAAGGAUGAGCCCGCGUUGGAUUAGCUAGUUGGUGAGGUAAAGGCUCACCAAGGCGACGAUCCAUAGCUGGUCUGAGAGGAUGAUCAGCCACACUGGGACUGAGACACGGCCCAGACUCCUACGGGAGGCAGCAGUGGGGAAUAUUGGACAAUGGGCGAAAGCCUGAUCCAGCAAUGCCGCGUGAGUGAUGAAGGCCUUAGGGUUGUAAAGCUCUUUUACCCGGGAUGAUAAUGACCGUACCGGGAGAAUAAGCUCCGGCUAACUCCGUG
This 433-nucleotide ribosomal RNA is filed under the name uncultured bacterium. Its description in RNAcentral is "partial 16S ribosomal RNA". It matches the Rfam family "Bacterial small subunit ribosomal RNA", at positions 29 to 507 of the family's 1533-position model. The record is from RNAcentral.